Molecule: long non-coding RNA, 246 nt
Organism: Fukomys damarensis (Damara mole-rat)
Lineage: Eukaryota; Metazoa; Chordata; Mammalia; Rodentia; Bathyergidae
Exons: 3
Source: RefSeq, a predicted model, not a curated record
GGACAAACCUCAAAAGGUGUGAACACAAUUUUCCAUAGGGAACACAAACUAUAGGGAAAAGCACAAACUAUGGCGCAGUUUCCGAAGAAAUUCCAAGCUCACAGCCAAGAUGCCACCACCACUCCCUUGGACUUCCUGGCCUUCAGAACUGUGACCCGAAUGUGCUGCUGUUUCUUGUGAAUUGCCCAGCACCCUAAUCCAGAAAGAAGAAUUCACCACAAUUUGCACCUAGAAGAUUGUCCUGAG